This 495-nucleotide ribosomal RNA is filed under the name uncultured bacterium. RNAcentral describes it as "bacterial SSU rRNA". It matches the Rfam family "Bacterial small subunit ribosomal RNA", at positions 28 to 532 of the family's 1533-position model. The record is from RNAcentral.
GACGAACGCUGGCGGCGCGCUUAACACAUGCAAGUCGUGCGGUACCGAUGGCAAGUCUUCAUGACGAGCCUUCGGUAUAGCGGCGGACGGGUGAGUAACACGUGAGUAGCUGUCCUAGGGAGGGGGAUAACGCCUGGAAACGGGUGCUAAAAACCCCAUAAGCCUCGCAAGAGGUGAAAGUGUACUUGUUACAGCCUUAGGGUGUGCUCGCGGCCUAUCAGCUAGUUGGUGAGGUAAGGGCUCACCAAAGGCUAAGACGGGUAGCCGGCCUGAGAGGGUGUACGGCCACACUGGAAUUGAGAUACGGUCCAGACUCCUACGGGAGGCAGCAGUGGGGAAUUUUGGGCAAUGGGCGAAAGGCCUGACCCAGCGACGCCGCGUUGGGGAUGAAGUCCUUCGGGCGUAAACCCAUGUUGUAGGGGAAGAAGAAAGUGACGGUACCCUACGAGAAAGCCCCGGCCAACUACGUCCAGCAGCCGCGGUAAGAGUAGUACA